This 284-nucleotide long non-coding RNA is filed under the name Vigna radiata. Its description in RNAcentral is "long non-coding RNA (VRAD_LNC007895)". Lineage: Eukaryota; Viridiplantae; Streptophyta; Magnoliopsida; Fabales; Fabaceae. The record is from RNAcentral.
AAAAAUUGAAGGUUGAAAUUGAGUGCUAUAAGGUAAAAUUACUCAAAAGAAAGCAAAAAGAAGAUGAAAUGAAAAUUAUCGCAGACAGUUGAGCGGUCCAUUUUACUGCUGAGCGGUUGCGGCGCAAUAUGUCUCAACUUUUCUUGAAAGUUGAGUGGUGUUCCAAGUUUUUCACUUUAAAACCAUUCUUUGCAUUUCGCCUGAGCGGUCUCCCUAAGCCCUAGCACUCUCCUUUCACUUUCAAGAGCUUUUGAAAGAGAUUUCCUCACAUUCUCAUCACCCAC